AUUGAACGCUGGCGGCAGGCCUAACACAUGCAAGUCGAACGGUAACAGGAAGCAGCUUGCUGCUUUGCUGACGAGUGGCGGACGGGUGAGUAAUGUCUGGGAAACUGCCUGAUGGCGGGGGAUAACUACUGGAAACGGUAGCUAAUACCGCAUAAUGUCGCAAGACCAAAGAGGGGGACCUUCUGGCCUCUUGCCAUCGGAUUUGCCCAGAUGGGAUUAGCUAGUAGGUGGGGUAAAGGCUCACCUCGGCGACGCUCCCUAGCUGGUCUGAGAGGAUGACCAGCCACACUGGAACAGAGACACGGUCCAGACUCCUGCGGGAGGCAGCAGUGGGGAAUAUUGCACAAUGGGCGCAAGCCUGAUGCAGCCAUGCCGCGUGUAUGAAGAAGGCCUUCGGGUUGUAAAGUACUUUCAGCGGGGAGGAAGGGAGUAACGUUAAUACCUUUGCUCAUUGACGUUACCCGCAGAAGAAGCACCGGCUAACUCCGUG
RNAcentral lists this ribosomal RNA (490 nucleotides) under uncultured bacterium. RNAcentral describes it as "partial 16S ribosomal RNA". It matches the Rfam family "Bacterial small subunit ribosomal RNA", at positions 30 to 507 of the family's 1533-position model. The record is from RNAcentral.